RNAcentral lists this ribosomal RNA (428 nucleotides) under uncultured bacterium. RNAcentral's name for it is "bacterial SSU rRNA". It matches the Rfam family "Bacterial small subunit ribosomal RNA", at positions 28 to 436 of the family's 1533-position model. The record is from RNAcentral.
GACGAACGCUGGCGGCGUGCCUAAUACAUGCAAGUCGAACGGUCUUUUCUAUGGAAGCUUGCUUCCACUGAGAAGAUAGUGGCGAACGGGUGAGUAACACGUGGGUAACCUGCCCAUAAGAGGGGGAUAACAUCCGGAAACGGGUGCUAAUACCGCAUAGUUUUCUUGAUCGCAUGAUCGAGAAAGGAAAGACGGCCUUUGUGCUGUCGCUUAUGGAUGGACCCGCGGCGUAUUAGUUAGUUGGUGAGGUAACGGCUCACCAAGACGAUGAUACGUAGCCGACCUGAGAGGGUGAUCGGCCACAUUGGGACUGAGACACGGCCCAAACUCCUACGGGAGGCAGCAGUAGGGAAUCUUCCGCAAUGGACGAAAGUCUGACGGAGCAACGCCGCGUGAGUGAAGAAGGUUUUCGGAUCGUAAAACUCUGU